RNAcentral lists this ribosomal RNA (515 nucleotides) under uncultured bacterium. Its description in RNAcentral is "partial 16S ribosomal RNA". It matches the Rfam family "Bacterial small subunit ribosomal RNA", at positions 28 to 523 of the family's 1533-position model. The record is from RNAcentral.
GAUGAACGCUGGCGGCGUGCCUAAUACAUGCAAGUCGAGCGAAUGGAUUAAGAGCUUGCUCUUAUGAAGUUAGCGGCGGACGGGUGAGUAACACGUGGGUAACCUGCCCAUAAGACUGGGAUAACUCCGGGAAACCGGGGCUAAUACCGGAUAACAUUUUGAACUGAAUGGUUCGAAAUUGAAAGGCGGCUUCGGCUGUCAUUUAUGGAUGGACCCGCGUAGCAUUAGAUAGUUGGUGAGGUAACGGCUCACUAAGGCAACGAUGCGUAGCCGACCUGGGAGGGUGAUCGGCCACACUGGGACUGAGACACGGCCCAGACUCCUACGGGAGGCAGCAGUAGGGAAUCUUCCGCAAUGGACGGAAGUCUGACGGAGCAACGCCGCGUGAGUGAUGAAGGCUUUCGGGUCGUAAAACUCUGUUGUUAGGGAAGAACAAGUGCUAGUUGAAUAAGCUGGCACCUUGACGGUACCUAACCAGAAAGCCACGGCUAACUACGUGCCAGCCGCCGCCGUAA